RNAcentral lists this ribosomal RNA (166 nucleotides) under uncultured bacterium. Its description in RNAcentral is "partial 16S rRNA". It matches the Rfam family "Bacterial small subunit ribosomal RNA", at positions 355 to 511 of the family's 1533-position model. The record is from RNAcentral.
UAGGGAAUCUUCCACAAUGGGCGAAAGCCUAGGAUGGAGCAACGCCGCGUGUGUGAUGAAGGGUUUCGGCUCGUAAAACACUGUUGUAAGAGAAGAAUGACAUUGAGAGUAACUGUUCAAUGUGUGACGGUAUCUUACCAGAAAGGAACGGCUAAAUACGUGCCAG